This 107-nucleotide small nucleolar RNA is filed under the name Oryza meridionalis. Its description in RNAcentral is "Plant small nucleolar RNA R71". It matches the Rfam family "Plant small nucleolar RNA R71". Rfam says of the family: R71 is a member of the C/D box family of snoRNAs containing the C (UGAUGA) and D (CUGA) box motifs. Multiple nearly identical copies of this snoRNA have been identified in Arabidopsis, and it is thought to function as a 2'-O-ribose methylation guide for 18S ribosomal RNA. The record is from Rfam by way of RNAcentral. Lineage: Eukaryota; Viridiplantae; Streptophyta; Magnoliopsida; Poales; Poaceae.
AUCCUAUGAUGAGGACAGGCGGCCACAUAUUACUGAAGUCUUUCCCAUGCUUCAGGAAUGGACUCAUCCCUCAUCUGCAGGACACUGGAAAUCCUUCCACAAAGGGC